GAACUGCUUUGUCCAAAAGUGCUGGGUUUGCACAAGUAAGUAUUUUUUGUGAGUAAUACCUGCCUCUCCUUUGUUGGAACCCGAUAAUCUGCCUCUUUGUCUGCUUUUGUGUGCUUUAAACAAGCUAAGUGAAUUUUUGCAUGUCUGAUAUCAUGUGUCGUAAUUCCAGGGUUUUGUUUCUGGCUCUGGUUUUGAUUUUAUUACCACUCUAGUUAUGUUGAGCUUUCCUGUCUCUAACUCUUUAGUGUCAGUUGCUGUUUGGUUUAUUUGCUGUUUUAUGCCAAACAUUAGGUGUUUUUUGGCAUCUAGAUUCCUUUUCCCUCCUCCCUCCUGUUGUUAUCAGUUGUUUACUGUUUAUUUCACUCCCUGUGUCCAUGUAGUCUGGCCUACCCGUUGCUCUUCACCAAAUCACUGUUGGUUUCCCUGUUUUCAGUCUGUGCAUUCCUGCUUCAUAGAUUUUUUUGCUUAACACCAAAUAAAUACUCAUUAUUUGUUUGUUUAAACCAACAUCUCCGCAUUAUAACUCAUGGCGACAUGACCCAUCAACAAAACACAAGUGAAUUUAAUAAAAUAAAACAAACAAAAGCUAAAAUUGGUCAGCCCCUUAUUCAUGAGAAAGCACAGUAAAACCCACAAGUCUGAGUAUAUUUUCCAGACAUAAUAAAUCCUUAAUUAUUAACCUGUGAGCACCCAGAGCAACGCUGUCGUGAGAAACAAAUUGAAUUUUGAGGAUAGAGACAAAGUAUUCCUAGCAUUGGCUUGAGUUUUAUCUACUGAGGCUCCUUUAAAGACAUAUCUUUGCAAACCAACUAUACGAACAACUUUAAAAAUAUGAUUUAAAUAUCAAAGUACCCCUGGGUGUACUGUACACACAGUUAUCUUUGCAACAAGAAAAAAAAUAAGCACAUUAAGGUGGAAUCAAUUUGGGGUUUUUUCUGCUAAUACUUUGUGUGUUAAACUUCAAAUUAUAUUUACAUUAAGCAGUUUUUCUGCUUAAAUAAAGAAUGAAUUCAUCUUCACCACAGAGUGAGUGUGCACCUUUCAGUAACAUUUCUACAUGCAAAAACAAGAGGCAGCAGGUCUGUGAACUUUUCCAUGUAAACAGCUGAUUUGCAAAAGCUAUCAUGAGAUAAGAGUCACAACAGUGGCAGUUUCAGGGUGUGGAGCACCGCUGUGAGCAAGGUGUGGCUGAUCAAAUGAGUUCAGUCACCUGGGUAAAUAAAGUUUGGUUAUAUGGUCAAACAAAACCAAUAAAAAAAACAAAGGGAUAUGGGGUAUUGUAUAAAAACAAGACAGGGUGAGAUUAAUUUAAAAAAAAAAAACUGACCAGGCACUGAAAUCACUUUUAUUUCUUUGCUGACAAACACUGGAUAAAAUAAUGCUUGUUAAAGCUCACAAUGAUCUAAAGUAACUUGACAGAUGAUUAAUUUGGUAUCCAUCAAAGUUUAGAUUAUUAUUAUUUUCUGACAAAAGCUGGACUGAUUUUUUUUUUUAAGCAAAACUGUGUUAAAGCUCAAGAUGAUGAGACAGGAGCAUGAAGGUUUCCGGGUUUUGUCCAUCUAGUCGGAGUCGCUGCUGCAGGAGCUGCUGGAAGACUACAACAGACAACAUGAGUCGUGUUAUUCAUCAAAACUCACGAGAAGCUCAGUUUGUCAAAGUUUAUCUAGCAUUUUAAGCAGGUCUUGCAAGUUUUGCAAAAACACUAUGAAAAAUACAUUUCUGUGUUUUCCUGUGAGUUGCAAGUCCACAAUUUGGUUGUGUUGUAAAAAUUUCUCAUGUUAUAUGUCACACUUUGAAUUUCUGGUUCGGUGCAAUCAGUCUUACCCCGUGGCUGUCCUUUCCUUUCUUGUGACAGUGGCCAUGCUUGUGACCGUGCUUGUGCUUAUGUUUGUCCUUUUUCUUGUCCUUUUUCUUGUCCUUGUGUCCAUGUCCAUGUCCAUGUCCAUGUCCGUGUCCAUGUCCAUGUCCGUGCCCAUGUCCGUGUCCUCCAUGUGGCCCAUGGUGCUGAGGAGGACAGGUUGGUGGGACAGUCCCUGGAGGACAACCCUGUGGAGGGUAACCCCCCUGCGGAGGGCAACCCCCCUGCGGAGGAUAGUUCGGGUAACCAGGUGGGCCUAAAACAAAGGAGAAAUGAGGAAUCAGCUGUAAGUUCAAGGUGAUGAUUGAGGGGGCGAGCUAAAAGAGUCGUGUUUACCUUGGUUGUGUCCGUACAUUUUGCUGCGUUACCAGGAGAAACUGCAGGUCCUGAAGAAUAAAAAGACAGGUUUUAAAUUAAAAUCUUU
Molecule: long non-coding RNA, 2282 nt
Organism: Oreochromis aureus
Lineage: Eukaryota; Metazoa; Chordata; Actinopteri; Cichliformes; Cichlidae
Source: Ensembl